GACGAACGCUGGCGGCGUGCCUAAUACAUGCAAGUAGAACGCUGAAGAGAGGAGCUUGCUCUUCUUGGAUGAGUUGCGAACGGGUGAGUAACGCGUAGGUAACCUGCCUUGUAGCGGGGGAUAACUAUUGGAAACGAUAGCUAAUACCGCAUAACAAUGGAUGACCCAUGUCAUUUAUUUGAAAGGGGCAAAUGCUCCACUACAAGAUGGACCUGCGUUGUAUUAGCUAGUAGGUGAGGUAACGGCUCACCUAGGCGACGAUACAUAGCCGACCUGAGAGGGGGAUCGGCCACACUGGGACUGAGACACGGCCCAGACUCCUACGGGAGGCAGCAGUAGGGAAUCUUCGGCAAUGGGGGCAACCCUGACCGAGCAACGCCGCGUGAGUGAAGAAGGUUUUCGGAUCGUAAAGCUCUGUUGUAAGUCAAGAACGAGUGUGAGAGUGGAAAGUUCACACUGUGACGGUAGCUUACCAGAAAGGGACGGCUAACUACGUG
Molecule: ribosomal RNA, 497 nt
Filed under: uncultured bacterium
Lineage: Bacteria
Description: partial 16S ribosomal RNA
Rfam family: Bacterial small subunit ribosomal RNA
Source: RNAcentral